Long non-coding RNA from Eleginops maclovinus (Patagonian blennie), 625 nucleotides. RefSeq lists it as uncharacterized. The transcript has 5 exons. The record is from RefSeq and is a predicted model, not a curated record. NCBI's taxonomy places the organism in Eukaryota, Metazoa, Chordata, Actinopteri, Perciformes, Eleginopidae.
ACUAGAAGCACAAUUACCCCAAAUAUAAGAACCAUAACUGAGGUUGAAUCAACCACUGAUCAUCUCAGUACAGAGAGUCCUUCUCCUGAUCCACCUUCAACUAAAGAAGUGGACCAAACAAUAAUCACUACCAGUGAACCUCCAUCUACCACUACCACAAGAAGCACAAUUACCCCAAAUAUAAGAACCACAACUGAGAUUGAAUCAACCACUGAACAUCUCAGUACUGACACUGCCUCACUUUUGCAGUCCACAACCAAAGAAGUGGACCAAACAAGAACUUUUUCCAUGACUCAGAAUAAAAGAACCACAAGUCUGAUUAAAUCAACCACUGGCCAUUUCAGUUCAGAUUAUAUCUCAUCUGAUCAGCCUUCAACCAAAGAAGUGGACCAAACAAGACUCACCUCAACGACCCCAAAUAAAAUAAGCACCAUCAAAGAACAAUCAACCAGUACAGAGAGUACUUCUCCUGAGCAGCCUACAACCCUACAGCUGGAGAAAUCAACAUCCCUUCCUGAACAAACUCCUCAUUCCACCAGACACACAGAGACUCCAAAUGAAAGAACCACCACUGAGAUUGAAUCAACCACUGGUCAUCUCAGUACAGAGAUUAUCUCCUCUGAUC